GGGGGGUGUCACAUGGGGGAGGAUUAGGGACAGCUAGCAACAGCUGGGAUAUUGGAGAGUCGACGGUUUUUACUGGAAAGUCGCCUGUGGGGAGUGGGGUGAGAGAGAGAGGAGUAGUUCUUCUCAUAACUGGAGGAAUCAGCCACCACGUGCAGAUGUGACCCCUCUCCUUGGCAUCAACUCAUACUACAUAAUGCAUCGUUUAUUCACUAACUUUUUGUUAUAAUUUUCUAUUUUCUCUGCCAAUUUCCCUUUUCCGUGCACGCCCUCACAACUUUGUCUUCCUACUCGCAUUCAACCUUGGCCCUUGGAUUGGAUUGAAUACGUUCAAUUUUAGCUUUAAUUUUGAUUCCGUACAUAUGUUGUAUUUGAGAGAUAUUGAAUUUUAUGAAUAAUUUGGAAAAAGACUUGAUCAAGAUGUUAAACUCUAGCUAGAUCUUUAAUUAAUUAUUUUUUAAUAUCUCGAAAGGGAUUUAUGUACAAGGAGAUCAUAUAUAUGUAGGAGUAUGUAGUUGUGGUAGAGGUAGACACAUGGGAUAGUAUCCUAAGGGCAAGAUAAAAAUAAACAGGAAAG
RNAcentral lists this unclassified non-coding RNA (574 nucleotides) under Hevea brasiliensis (rubber tree). The record is from RNAcentral. Lineage: Eukaryota; Viridiplantae; Streptophyta; Magnoliopsida; Malpighiales; Euphorbiaceae.